GAUAAACGCUGGCGGCGUGCUUAACACAUGCAAGUCGAACGAGAACGGAUUAUAGCUUGCUAUAAUUGUCAGCUAAGUGGCGCACGGGUGAGUAAUGUAUAGGUAAUAUGCCUCUUACUAAGGGAUAACAAAUGGAAACGUUUGCUAAUACCUUAUACUCCUUAUUAACAGAAGUUAAUAAGGGAAAGAUUUAUUGGUAAGAGAUUAGCCUGUAUUGUAUCAGUUAGUUGGUGGGGUAAUGGCUUACCAAGACUAUGACACAUAACUGGUUUGAGAGGAUGAUCAGAAAAACUGGAACUGAGACACGGUCCAGACUCCUACGGGAGGCAGCAGUGGGGAAUAUUGCACAAUGGACGAAAGUCUGAUGCAGCAACGCCGCGUGGAGGAUGACACAUUUCGGUGCGUAAACUCCUUUUAUAUGAGAAGAUAAUGACGGUAUUAUAUGAAUAAGCACCGGCUAACUCCGUGCCAGCAGCCGCCGUAA
Molecule: ribosomal RNA, 484 nt
Filed under: uncultured bacterium
Lineage: Bacteria
Description: partial 16S ribosomal RNA
Rfam family: Bacterial small subunit ribosomal RNA
Source: RNAcentral